GACAGAGGGUGCAAACGUUGCUCGGAAUUACUGGGCGUAAAGCGUGCGCAGGCGGUUUUGUAAGUCUGUCGUGAAAUCCCCGGGCUCAACCUGGGAAUUGCGAUGGAGACUGCAAGGCUGGAGUCUGGCAGAGGGGGGUAGAAUUCCACGUGUAGCAGUGAAAUGCGUAGAGAUGUGGAGGAACACCGAUGGCGAAGGCAGCCCCCUGGGUCAAGACUGACGCUCAUGCACGAAAGCGUGGGGAGCAAACAGG
Molecule: ribosomal RNA, 253 nt
Filed under: uncultured bacterium
Lineage: Bacteria
Description: partial 16S ribosomal RNA
Rfam family: Bacterial small subunit ribosomal RNA
Source: RNAcentral